CAGUGUCUGGUGGGUAGUUUGACUGGGGCGGUCUCCUCCUAAAGAGUAACGGAGGAGCACGAAGGUUGGCUAAUCCUGGUCGGACAUCAGGAGGUUAGUGCAAUGGCAUAAGCCAGCUUGACUGCGAGCGUGACGGCGCGAGCAGGUGCGAAAGCAGGUCAUAGUGAUCCGGUGGUUCUGAAUGGAAGGGCCAUCGCUCAACGGAUAAAAGGUACUCCGGGGAUAACAGGCUGAUACCGCCCAAGAGUUCAUAUCGACGGCGGUGUUUGGCACCUCGAUGUCGGCUCAUCACAUCCUGGGGCUGAAGUAGGUCCCAAGGGUAUGGCUGUUCGCCAUUUAAAGUGGUACGCGAGCUGGGUUUAGAACGUCGUGAGACAGUUCGGUCCCUAUCUGCCGUGGGCGCUGGAGAACUGAGGGGGGCUGCUCCUAGUACGAGAGGACCGGAGUGGACGCAUCACUGGUGUUCGGGUUGUCAUGCCAAUGGCACUGCCCGGUAGCUAAAUGCGGA
This 508-nucleotide ribosomal RNA is filed under the name Escherichia coli. RNAcentral describes it as "partial 23S ribosomal RNA". It matches the Rfam family "Bacterial large subunit ribosomal RNA", at positions 2252 to 2759 of the family's 2925-position model. Lineage: Bacteria; Pseudomonadati; Pseudomonadota; Gammaproteobacteria; Enterobacterales; Enterobacteriaceae. The record is from RNAcentral.